Molecule: ribosomal RNA, 477 nt
Filed under: uncultured bacterium
Lineage: Bacteria
Description: partial 16S ribosomal RNA
Rfam family: Bacterial small subunit ribosomal RNA
Source: RNAcentral
GAUGAACGCUGAUAGAAUGCUUAACACAUGCAAGUCUACUUGAUUCUACUUCGGUAGUUGAUGGUGGCGGACGGGUGAGUAACGCGUAAAGAAUCUGCCCUUUAGUUCGGGAUAACCUUUGGAAACGAAGGACAAUACCGGAUAUUAUGGAGACGUCGCAUGACGAUUUCAUGAGAGCUAUAUGCGCUAGAGGAGGACUUUGCGUCCCAUUAGUUAGUUGGUGAGGUAAUGGCUCACCAAGACCGCGAUGGGUAGCCGGCCUGAGAGGGUGAUCGGCCACAAGGGAACUGAGACACGGUCCUUACUCCUACGGGAGGCAGCAGUGGGGAAUAUUGGACAAUGGGCCACAAGCCUGAUCCAGCAAUUCUGUGUGCACGAUGAAGGUCUUCGGAUUGUAAAGUGCUUUCAGUAGGGAAGAAAAAAUGACGGUACCUACAGAAGAAGCGACGGCUAAAUAUGUGCCAGCAGCCGCCGUAA